This 950-nucleotide ribosomal RNA is filed under the name uncultured archaeon. RNAcentral describes it as "bacterial SSU rRNA". It matches the Rfam family "Archaeal small subunit ribosomal RNA", at positions 1 to 938 of the family's 1478-position model. The record is from RNAcentral.
UUCCGGUUGAUCCCGCCGGACCCGACUGCUAUUUGGGUGAGGAUAAACCAUGCGAGUUGAAUGGGAUACCUAAAUAUCCCAUAGCAAACUGCUCAGUAACACAUGAUCAACUUACCCUAUGGAGAAAAAUAACCUCGGGAAACUGAGGAUAAUGUUUCAUAGUUGAAUAGGCUUGGAAAAGUUUUUCAAUGAAAGGGAUAAGAAAAAUGGUUCUUAUUUGCCAUAGGAUAGGAUCGUGGUCGAUUAUGGUUGUUGGUGAGGUAACGGCUCACCAAGCCGAUAAUCGAUAGGGGCCGUGAGAGCGGGAGCCCCGAGAUGGGUACUGAGACAACGACCCAGGCCUUACGAGGCGCAGCAGGUGCGGAACCUCCGCAAUACACGAAAGUGUGACGGGGUUACCCAAAGUGUUCAUUAUUGAACUGUGGUAGGUGAGUAAUGUCCCCUACUAGAAAGGAGAGGGCAAGGCUGGUGCCAGCCGCCGCGGUAAAACCAGCUCUUCAAGUGGUCGGGAUGAUUAUUGGGCUUAAAGUGUCCGUAGCCGGUUUAGUAAGUUCCUGGUAAAAUCGGGUAGCUUAACUAUCCGUAUGCUAGGAAUACUGCUAUACUAGAGGGCGGGAGAGGUCUGAGGUACUAUAGGGGUAGGGGUGAAAUCCUAUAAUCCUUAUAGGACCACCAGUGGCGAAGGCGUCAGACUGGAACGCGCCUGACGGUGAGGGACGAAAGCCAGGGGAGCGAACCGGAUUAGAUACCCGGGUAGUCCUGGCCGUAAACGAUGCAUACUANGUGAUGGCACGGCCAUGAGCCGUGUCAGUGCCGUAGGGAAACCGUUAAGUGUGCCGCCUGGGAAAGUACGGUCGCAAGGCUAAAACUUAAAGGAAUUGGCGGGGGAGCACCACAAGGGGUGAAGCCUGCGGUUCAAUUGGAUUCAACGCCGGAAAUCACUAGUGCGG